ACGGGAAGCCGGUGAGAAUCCGGCGCGGUCCUCGCCACUGUGACCGGGAAGCGAUCCCCGCCGAGCACGUCACUGGUCCCCGCCGGGACUGGGAAGACGCGGGGGCAGCGUUGAUCCGGAAGUCAGGAGACCG
Molecule: non-coding RNA, 133 nt
Filed under: Lentzea albidocapillata
Lineage: Bacteria; Bacillati; Actinomycetota; Actinomycetes; Pseudonocardiales; Pseudonocardiaceae
Source: RNAcentral